This 80-nucleotide small RNA is filed under the name uncultured Limosilactobacillus sp. Its description in RNAcentral is "Lacto-phage-1 RNA". It matches the Rfam family "Lacto-phage-1 RNA". Lineage: Bacteria; Bacillati; Bacillota; Bacilli; Lactobacillales; Lactobacillaceae. The record is from RNAcentral.
UCGUCUCUGCUAGUCUCACGGCAGCCGUGCUGUUAUCAGCAAAAGAGUACUGCAAUUCAACUCAACGGCUAAAAGAUUGC